This 1364-nucleotide ribosomal RNA is filed under the name Streptomyces sp. RNAcentral describes it as "bacterial SSU rRNA". It matches the Rfam family "Bacterial small subunit ribosomal RNA", at positions 60 to 1433 of the family's 1533-position model. Lineage: Bacteria; Bacillati; Actinomycetota; Actinomycetes; Kitasatosporales; Streptomycetaceae. The record is from RNAcentral.
AGUCGACGAUGAAGCCCUUCGGGGUGGAUUAGUGGCGAACGGGUGAGUAACACGUGGGCAAUCUGCCCUUCACUCUGGGACAAGCCCUGGAAACGGGGUCUAAUACCGGAUACGACCUGCCGAGGCAUCUCGGCGGGUGGAAAGCUCCGGCGGUGAAGGAUGAGCCCGCGGCCUAUCAGCUUGUUGGUGAGGUAACGGCUCACCAAGGCGACGACGGGUAGCCGGCCUGAGAGGGCGACCGGCCACACUGGGACUGAGACACGGCCCAGACUCCUACGGGAGGCAGCAGUGGGGAAUAUUGCACAAUGGGCGAAAGCCUGAUGCAGCGACGCCGCGUGAGGGAUGACGGCCUUCGGGUUGUAAACCUCUUUCAGCAGGGAAGAAGCGAAAGUGACGGUACCUGCAGAAGAAGCGCCGGCUAACUACGUGCCAGCAGCCGCGGUAAUACGUAGGGCGCAAGCGUUGUCCGGAAUUAUUGGGCGUAAAGAGCUCGUAGGCGGCUUGUCACGUCGGGUGUGAAAGCCCGGGGCUUAACCCCGGGUCUGCAUCCGAUACGGGCAGGCUAGAGUGUGGUAGGGGAGAUCGGAAUUCCUGGUGUAGCGGUGAAAUGCGCAGAUAUCAGGAGGAACACCGGUGGCGAAGGCGGAUCUCUGGGCCAUUACUGACGCUGAGGAGCGAAAGCGUGGGGAGCGAACAGGAUUAGAUACCCUGGUAGUCCACGCCGUAAACGUUGGGAACUAGGUGUUGGCGACAUUCCACGUCGUCGGUGCCGCAGCUAACGCAUUAAGUUCCCCGCCUGGGGAGUACGGCCGCAAGGCUAAAACUCAAAGGAAUUGACGGGGGCCCCGCACAAGCAGCGGAGCAUGUGGCUUAAUUCGACGCAACGCGAAGAACCUUACCAAGGCUUGACAUAUACCGGAAACAUCCAGAGAUGGGUGCCCCCUUGUGGUCGGUAUACAGGUGGUGCAUGGCUGUCGUCAGCUCGUGUCGUGAGAUGUUGGGUUAAGUCCCGCAACGAGCGCAACCCUUGUCCUGUGUUGCCAGCAUGCCCUUCGGGGUGAUGGGGACUCACAGGAGACCGCCGGGGUCAACUCGGAGGAAGGUGGGGACGACGUCAAGUCAUCAUGCCCCUUAUGUCUUGGGCUGCACACGUGCUACAAUGGCCGGUACAAAGAGCUGCGAUGCCGCGAGGCGGAGCGAAUCUCAAAAAGCCGGUCUCAGUUCGGAUUGGGGUCUGCAACUCGACCCCAUGAAGUCGGAGUUGCUAGUAAUCGCAGAUCAGCAUUGCUGCGGUGAAUACGUUCCCGGGCCUUGUACACACCGCCCGUCACGUCACGAAAGUCGGUAACACCCGAAGCCGGUGG